UAAUAAGUGUUUUAUGGCACUUUUUAAAUCCAUAUCCACCUUGUGUGCAAUGUCAGGGUUGGUCUCUCUUGAAAAAAAGAGAUCAGCCCAAACAUCAACCUUAUCUUUUAACUCUUUGUCUGAAAAAUAUUAUGAAUAAACAAUUCAAAAUA
RNAcentral lists this unclassified non-coding RNA (152 nucleotides) under uncultured Mortierella. RNAcentral's name for it is "sequence contains ITS1". Lineage: Eukaryota; Fungi; Mortierellomycota; Mortierellomycetes; Mortierellales; Mortierellaceae. The record is from RNAcentral.